Non-coding RNA from Rattus norvegicus (Norway rat), 2256 nucleotides. Lineage: Eukaryota; Metazoa; Chordata; Mammalia; Rodentia; Muridae. The record is from RefSeq and is a predicted model, not a curated record.
UUUUUUUUUUUGGUUCUUUUUUUCGGAGCUGGGGACCGAACCCAGGGCCUUGCGCUUCCUAGGCAAGCGCUCUACCACUGAGCCAAAUCCCCAACCCCUUCUUUUUUUUUAAAUUAUUAUUUUUUAUUUAUUUAAUGUAUAUGAGUACACUGUCUCUGUCUUCAGACACACCAGAAAAGGGUGCCAGAUGCCAUUACAAAUGGUUGUGAGCCACCAUGUGGUUGCUGGGAAUUGAACUCAGGACCUCUGGAAGAGCAGUUAGUGCUCUUAACCACUGAACCAUCUCUCCAGCCCUACUUUGUCUUUCUUUAUGCCUUCCUGGGCCUAUAGUUUGCAAAUUUCCUUGUCUUCCCUAGGAGCUGCCUGUUAAGUCUUUCAGCUUCUCCUCACCCUUGUGGCUUCUGUGAUGGUGGAACCCUCCCUUUCUGGAGUCCCUGCUUGUUUCUCCCUUACCCUUAACUGAUCCACUUCUGAUCUACAUCAUAAGUGUCUCUCAGGAUCCUGGAGCCUGCCGUGCCCUUGGGGUGCUCACCACUGGACAUCAACUUUUUCUCAGCUCUGGCCUGCUACAUCCGUCUGGUUCUUUUUACUGAAGUACUAGUUCACUUUCCCCCUGCACUCUAGGCUGUCUCUCCUUCCAGCCCGUAGCCCCUCAGCUUCAUCUCUCUGCUCCCUCUUGGAGUUUAUAGGAACACCCCAACCCUCGCCCACACAGAGAAGCCCUAGCUCACAGUAACAAAAGGAUUUCAGACAGACUGGCUUUCAGACUCCGUUCUUACACUAGUGCUCUAGACCACAGGUCCUUAGGCGUUUAGCUUGGUUCUGAGGCCAGGCUGUUGCUGUUGGACUGAGCUAUGCUACUGGCACCCACAGUCUCCAAAAGCCAGUUUUGGGACUCUAAUGGAAAGCUGAGCCAAUUCAGUUGAAUCCCCAAGCUACAAUGACAGAUUUGGAGUUGGGUGGAAUCAAAGUCUGGAAAGUUUCAGAAUGCUAACCUUCAGAAUGCAGAUGAUUCUCUGGGUGAAGUGCCCAGAGUUCAAACACUAAGACUUGGGUUUAGGGGGCUGGGGAUUUAGCUCAGUGGUAGAGCGCUUGCUUAGCAAGCACAAGGCCCUGGGUUCGGCCCCCAGCUCUGAAAAAAAGAAAAAAAAAAAAAAAGAAAAAGAAGACUUGGGGUUAGCUCCUAGCAACCAUGGUAAAGCCAGGAGCGGCAGCACAUCUCUAACCCAAGUGUUGAGAGAGAGACAGGCAGCUGCCAGAUGCUGGGGGCCCACUGACCAGCCAGCCUAAUUAAAGCAGCGUUCUCCUGGUUCAGUGAGACCCUGUCUCAAGAAGUAAGGUAAGGGGGCUGGGGAUUUAGCUCAGUGGUAGAGCGCUUACCUAGGAAGCGCAAGGCCCUGGGUUCGGUCCCCAGCUCCGAAAAAAAGAACAAAAAAAAAAAAAAAGAAAAAGAAGUAAGGUAAGAAUGGUUGAAGAAGGCGCUGGAGAGAUGGUUAAGCAUUCUUCCAAAGGUCCUGGGGUUCAAUUUCCAGCAUCCACUUGGCAGCUCACAACUGUAACUCCAGCUCCAGAGGAUCUGACAGCCUCAUACAGACAUACAUGCAGGUAAAACACUAAUGCAGGGUUAAAAAAAAAAAGUUUGAGGAAGACAUCCAUGGUUAUUUGGGGCAUCCGUCAUGUAUCUGCACUGUGGUUUGGUCAUUUAUCUGCACAGGGGAGUGCACACAAUCAGCACAUAGAUAAGAAAAUCAUUCAGCCCAAAGCAUUUGGUAGGAGAUGCAGAUAAUACAGCAAAAAGGAACACUUUCACCUUAAAAAUGCAACACUGUGGGCCACAAGAUGAGUCAUCAGGUAAAGAUACUGACCACCAAGUCCGACAACCGGAAUUUGAUCCCAGGUACUACCACAUGGUGGCAGCAGAGAGCUGACUCUGACGUUGGUCCCCCCCGCCCUUUCCUUUUACUGUGCCUUGCACACACCCCACGAUAAAUAAAAAUAAAUAAACGGGGAAUGGCAGUGAUGGCACACACCUUUAAUAUCAGCACUCAGCAGACAGAGCCCCCACCCCCGCAAAAGAAAGAAAGAAAGAAAGAAAGAAAGCUGAGCAAGCCAGGGGAAGCAAGCCAGUAAGAAACGUCCCUCGUUGGUCUCUGCAUCAGCUCCUGCUUCCUGACCUGUGUGAGUUCCAGUACUGACUUCCUUUGGUGAUGAAUAGCAAUGUGGAAGUGUAAGCUGAAUAAACCCUUUCCUCCCCAA